CCAAACCACGUGUCAAAACACUGCAGGCGUGGAGCUAGGGAGAGUGCGUGCCGGAGGGGAGCGUAGUCUUCUUCUCACAACCGGAAUCUGCGCCUCUCUGCAUUGGCUGGCACAUCCGAGUAUCAAUAUAGAUGUCACUGAAAGUGAUAAGCAUUAAAAGCUUACUACAGACAGUACUGAUUUUAGAUCAGACAUAAUAAUUGACAACUGCAAAAAUAGAAGAGUAAAGGAGGCAUAUGUGGAGGUUCUCUACACCAAAGUUCUUUAUUGGGACAUCUGAUUUACAUGCUCGUAAGAGAAAGAAGAUGGGUCAUGCCUGCUAUUCAGCUUACAGUGGGAUAGUCACUGUACUGAAGAAGAGCAUAUAAAGACAAUGGAUGAAGAACCUCAACAGAAAGAUUAUAGAGGUAAGCACAAAUACCCACUUUAUAUAUCAUUGGGGUAGAUUCUUAGGGUUUUGUACAAAUGUGAAAAUGAAAUGACUAUGCUAAUGUGGGCAUUAGUCCUUAGGUCAUGAAUCCCACUACUGCAAAAAUGACUACCUCUCGCCCAAAGGUUGAAAUGACAGCCGCAGAAAAUGUAAGCACUUUGGGUGGUGCAAAUUCUGAGGCAAGCAUACCGUAGCCAAUCCUUGUGAAUCUUUUAAGCUCACACAGACAGGACACAAAGCAGAUGAAAUCAUAGUAAUGCUGUAUAGGGGAUCUGUCAGCUGUGUAUU
Long non-coding RNA from Hyla sarda, 718 nucleotides. RefSeq lists it as uncharacterized. The record is from RefSeq and is a predicted model, not a curated record. The transcript is spliced from 3 exons. NCBI's taxonomy places the organism in Eukaryota, Metazoa, Chordata, Amphibia, Anura, Hylidae.